This 308-nucleotide ribosomal RNA is filed under the name uncultured bacterium. Its description in RNAcentral is "bacterial SSU rRNA". It matches the Rfam family "Bacterial small subunit ribosomal RNA", at positions 32 to 314 of the family's 1533-position model. The record is from RNAcentral.
AAUCAACGCCGGCGGCGUGCCUAACACAUGCAAGUCGAGCGGGAAAGGGGGGCUUCGGCCCCCUGAGUAUAGCGGCGGACGGGUGAGUAACACGUGGGUAAUUUGCCCUUGGGUGUGGAAUAACUCAGGGAAACUUGAGCUAAUACCGCAUGACAUCCCCUUCACACACGAGUCGGGGGAUCAAAGCCGGGGACCCUUCGGGGCCUGGCGCCUGAGGAGAAGCCCGCGCCCGAUUAGCUAGUUGGUGAGGUAAUGGCUCACCAAGGCUUCGAUCGGUAGCCGGCCUGAGAGGGGCGGACGGCCACACU